ACUCCUACGGGAGGCAGCAGUGGGGAAUCUUGCGCAAUGGGCGAAAGCCUGAUGCAGCGACGCCGCGUGAGGGAUGACGGCCUUCGGGUUGUAAACCUCUUUCAGCAGGGAAGAAGCGAAAGUGACGGUACCUGCAGAAGAAGCGCCGGCUAACUACGUGCCAGCAGCCGCGGUAAU
RNAcentral lists this ribosomal RNA (177 nucleotides) under uncultured Actinomycetes bacterium. Its description in RNAcentral is "uncultured actinobacterium partial 16S ribosomal RNA". It matches the Rfam family "Bacterial small subunit ribosomal RNA", at positions 335 to 524 of the family's 1533-position model. The record is from RNAcentral. Lineage: Bacteria; Bacillati; Actinomycetota; Actinomycetes.